AGGAUUAUAGUUUAUAAAAAAACUUUUGAUUUGCAUUCAAAUAAUAUUGAAUUACUUCAAUUUAUCUUA
This 69-nucleotide transfer RNA is filed under the name Tacola eulimene. Its description in RNAcentral is "tRNA-Ala". It matches the Rfam family "tRNA". From Rfam's summary of the family: Transfer RNA (tRNA) molecules are approximately 80 nucleotides in length. Their secondary structure includes four short double-helical elements and three loops (D, anti-codon, and T loops). Further hydrogen bonds mediate the characteristic L-shaped molecular structure. tRNAs have two regions of fundamental functional importance: the anti-codon, which is responsible for specific mRNA codon recognition, and the 3' end, to which the tRNAs corresponding amino acid is attached (by aminoacyl-tRNA synthetases). tRNAs cope with the degeneracy of the genetic code in two manners: having more than one tRNA (with a specific anti-codon) for a particular amino acid; and 'wobble' base-pairing, i.e. permitting non-standard base-pairing at the 3rd anti-codon position. The record is from RNAcentral. Lineage: Eukaryota; Metazoa; Arthropoda; Insecta; Lepidoptera; Nymphalidae.